This 777-nucleotide ribosomal RNA is filed under the name uncultured Neocallimastigales. Its description in RNAcentral is "partial large subunit ribosomal RNA". It matches the Rfam family "Eukaryotic large subunit ribosomal RNA", at positions 22 to 620 of the family's 3401-position model. Lineage: Eukaryota; Fungi; Neocallimastigomycota; Neocallimastigomycetes; Neocallimastigales. The record is from RNAcentral.
CUAUACAUGACUCUGCGCAUAUCAAUAAGCGGAGGAAAAGAAACUAACAAGGAUUCCCUUAGUAACGGCGAGUGAAGCGGGAAGAGCUCAAAUUUGAAAUCUUCAAGGUUUUACCUUGACGAAUUGUAGUUUAAAGAAGUGUUUUCUGCUGAAGUUUUGGUAAAAGUUCUUUGGAAUAGGACAUCAUAGAGGGUGAGAAUCCCGUAUUUGACCAUUAUUUUCAGCUUUGUGAUACACUUUCAAAGAGUCGGAUUGUUUGGGAAUGCAGUCCAAAAUGGGUGGUAAAUUUCAUCUAAAGCUAAAUAUUGGCGAGAGACCGAUAGCGAACAAGUACCGUGAGGGAAAGAUGAAAAGAACUUUGAAAAGAGAGUUAAACAGUACGUGAAAUUGUCAAAAGGGAAGCGUUUGACACUAGUGUUGUUUUCUCGAAAAUCAAUUAAAAAUGGCUCGAUUUUGUAUUGCUUGAGACCUUAAAAGCUCACUGUACAUUUUUCGUGUCUUUUUUAAUGCACUUUUCGUUUAACGAAGUCAACAUCAGUUUCUUUUGUUGUAAAAGGGUCAUUGGAAGGUGGCUUUCUUUUCGGAGAAAGUGUUUAUAGCCUUUGGCCUCUGCAAUCGGAGAGACUGAGGUCUGCAGCGUAGACUCUUCGGGGUUAGAUACAUUUGUGCUAAGUUAUAGCUUUUUAUAGACAGACUUGUUGACUAUAAUUAGUCUUGUAGCUUACUCGCUUAUGCUAUUUUACCUACGCUUAGGAUGUUGAAGAUGUAGCACAUCAU